ACACUCCUGCGGGAGGCAGCAGUGAGGAAUUUUGGACAAUGGGCGAAAGCCUGAUCCAGCAAUGCCGCGUGAGUGAAGAAGGCCUUCGGGUUGUAAAGCUCUUUUGUCAGGGAAGAAACGGUGAAAGCUAAUAUCUUUUGCUAAUGACGGUACCUGAAGAAUAAGCACCGGCUAACUACGUGCCAGCAGCCGCGGUAAUACGUAGGGUGCAAGCGUUAAUCGGAAUUACUGGGCGUAAAGCGUGCGCAGGCGGUUUUGUAAGUCUGAUGUGAAAUCCCCGGGCUCAACCUGGGAAUUGCAUUGGGGACUGCAAGGCUAGAAUCUGGCGGAGGGGGGUAGAAUUCCACGUGUAGCAGUGAAAUGCGUAGAUAUGUGGAGGAACACCGAUGGCGAAGGCAGCCCCCUGGGUCAAGAUUGACGCUCAUGCACGAAAGCGUGGGGAGCAAACAGGAUUAGAAACCCCUGUAGUCCCA
RNAcentral lists this ribosomal RNA (473 nucleotides) under uncultured organism. RNAcentral's name for it is "partial 16S ribosomal RNA". It matches the Rfam family "Bacterial small subunit ribosomal RNA", at positions 333 to 797 of the family's 1533-position model. The record is from RNAcentral.